Molecule: ribosomal RNA, 210 nt
Filed under: uncultured Pseudomonas sp.
Lineage: Bacteria; Pseudomonadati; Pseudomonadota; Gammaproteobacteria; Pseudomonadales; Pseudomonadaceae
Description: partial 16S ribosomal RNA
Rfam family: Bacterial small subunit ribosomal RNA
Source: RNAcentral
UGGGGAUGACGUCAAGUCAUCAUGGCCCUUACGGCCUGGGCUACACACGUGCUACAAUGGUCGGUACAAAGGGUUGCCAAGCCGCGAGGUGGAGACUAAUACCCAUAAACCGAUCGUAGUCCGGAUCGCAGUCUGCAACUCGACUGCGUGAAGUCGGAAUCGCUAGUAAUCGUGAAUCAGAAUGUCACGGUGAAUACGUUCCCGGGCCUU